This 253-nucleotide ribosomal RNA is filed under the name uncultured archaeon. Its description in RNAcentral is "partial 16S ribosomal RNA". It matches the Rfam family "Archaeal small subunit ribosomal RNA", at positions 474 to 727 of the family's 1478-position model. The record is from RNAcentral.
UACCAGCCCCGCGAGCGUUCUGAAGGGUUAUUGGGCCUAAAGCGCCCGUAGCCAGCCUAGCAAGUCUCCGCGGAAAUCCCCUGGCUCAACCCGGGGGCAAGCGGAGAAACUGCUGGGCUAGGGUGCGGGAGAGGCCGGGGGUACUCCCGGGGUAGGGGCGAAAUCCUAUAAUCCCUGGAGGACCACCAGUGGCGAAGGCGCCCUGCUGGAACGCGCCCGACGGUGAGGGGCGAAAGCGGGGGGAGCGAACCGG